Molecule: ribosomal RNA, 460 nt
Filed under: uncultured bacterium
Lineage: Bacteria
Description: partial 16S ribosomal RNA
Rfam family: Bacterial small subunit ribosomal RNA
Source: RNAcentral
CCUACGGGUGGCAGCAGUGAGGAAUAUUGGUCAAUGGACGAAAGUCUGAACCAGCCAAGUAGCGUGAAGGAUGACUGCCCUAUGGGUUGUAAACUUCUUUUAUAUGGGAAUAAAAUGUUCCACGUGUGGGAGUUUGUAUGUACCAUAUGAAUAAGGAACGGCUAACUCCGUGCCAGCAGCCGCGGUAAUACGGAGGAACCGGGCGUUAUCCGGAUUUAUUGGGUUUAAAGGGAGCGUAGGUGGAUUGUUAAGUCAGUUGUGAAAGUUCGCGGCUCAACCGUAAAAUUGCAGUUGAAACUGGCAGUCUUGAGUACAGUAGAGGUGGGCGGAAUUCGUGGUGUAGCGGUGAAAUGCUUAGAUAUCACGAAGAACUCCGAUGGCGAAGGCAGCUUACUGGACUGCAACUGACACUGAGGCUCGAAAGUGUGGGGAUCAAACAGGAUUAGAUACCCUUGUAGUC